RNAcentral lists this ribosomal RNA (522 nucleotides) under uncultured archaeon. Its description in RNAcentral is "bacterial SSU rRNA". It matches the Rfam family "Archaeal small subunit ribosomal RNA", at positions 1 to 523 of the family's 1478-position model. The record is from RNAcentral.
UUCCGGUUGAUCCCGCCGGAGGUUACUGCUAUCGGUGUUCGACUAAGCCAUGCAAGUCAUAUGUUCCUCGUGAACAUGGCAUACUGCUCAGUAACACGUGGAUAACCUGCCCUUGGGUCUGGGAUAACCCCGGGAAACUGGGGAUAAUAUCGGAUAACGCAUAUGUGCUGGAAUGCUUUAUGCGUAAAACGGAUUCGUCCGCCCAAGGAUGGGUCUGCGGCCUAUCAGGUAGUAGUGGGUGUAAUGUACCUACUAGCCAACAACGGGUACGGGUUGUGAGAGCAAGAGCCCGGAGAUGGAUUCUGAGACAUGAAUCCAGACCCUACGGGGCGCAGCAGGCGCGAAAACUUUACAAUGCGGGAAACCGUGAUAAGGGAACACCGAGUGCCAGCAUCAUAUGCUGGCUGUCCAGAUGUGUAAACUACAUCUGUUAGCAAGGGCCGGGCAAGACCGGUGCCAGCCGCCGCGGUAACACCGGCGGCCCGAGUGGUGACCGUUAUUAUUGGGUCUAAAGGGUCCGUA